UGGGGAAUAUUGCACAAUGGGCGCAAGCCUGAUGCAGCCAUGCCGCGUGUAUGAAGAAGGCCUUCGGGUUGUAAAGUACUUUCAGCGAGGAGGAAGGCAUUAAGGUUAAUAACCUUAGUGAUUGACGUUACUCGCAGAAGAAGCACCGGCUAACUCCGUGCCAGCAGCCGCGGUAAUACGGAGGGUGCAAGCGUUAAUCGGAAUUACUGGGCGUAAAGCGCACGCAGGCGGUUGAUUAAGUCAGAUGUGAAAUCCCCGAGCUUAACUUGGGAACUGCAUUUGAAACUGGUCAGCUAGAGUCUUGUAGAGGGGGGUAGAAUUCCAGGUGUAGCGGUGAAAGGCGUAGAGAUCUGGAGGAAUACCGGUGGCGAAGGCGGCCCCCUGGACAAAGACUGACGCUCAGGUGCGAAAGCGUGGGGAGCAAACAG
This 428-nucleotide ribosomal RNA is filed under the name uncultured bacterium. RNAcentral describes it as "bacterial SSU rRNA". It matches the Rfam family "Bacterial small subunit ribosomal RNA", at positions 355 to 775 of the family's 1533-position model. The record is from RNAcentral.